UACGUAGGGAGCAAGCGUUGUCCGGAAUCAUUGGGCGUAAAGCGCGCGUAGGUGGCCCUGUAAGUCCGUUGUGAAAGUCAAAGGCUCAACCUUUGAAAGCCGAUGGAUACUGCAGGGCUAGAGUACGGAAGAGGCGAGUGGAAUUCCUGGUGUAGCGGUGAAAUGCGCAGAUAUCAGGAGGAACACCGGUGGCGAAGGCGGGUCUCUGGGCCGAUACUGACGCUGAGGAGCGAAAGCGUGGGGAGCAAACAGG
Molecule: ribosomal RNA, 253 nt
Filed under: uncultured bacterium
Lineage: Bacteria
Description: partial 16S ribosomal RNA
Rfam family: Bacterial small subunit ribosomal RNA
Source: RNAcentral